This is a long non-coding RNA of Oncorhynchus keta (chum salmon), 327 nucleotides long. RefSeq lists it as uncharacterized. The transcript is spliced from 3 exons. The record is from RefSeq and is a predicted model, not a curated record. NCBI's taxonomy places the organism in Eukaryota, Metazoa, Chordata, Actinopteri, Salmoniformes, Salmonidae.
GUAGGGUAGUGUGAUGGAGUAGGGUAGUGUGAUGGAGUAGGGUAGUGUGAUGGAGUAGGGUAGUGUGAUGGAGUAAGGUAGUGUGAUGGAGUAAGGUAGUGUGAUGGAGUAAGGUAGUGUGAUGGAGUAAGGUAGUGUGAUGGAGUAGGGUAGUGUGAUGGAGUAAGGUAGUGUGAUGGAGUAGGGUAGUGUGAUGGAGUAGGGUAGUGUGAUGGAGUAGGGUAGUGUGAUGGAGUAAGGUAGUGUGAUGGAGUAGGGUAGUGUGAUGGAGUAGGGUAGUGUGAUGGAGUAGGGUAGUGUGAUGGAGUAAGGUAGUGUGAUGGAGUA